AUAGGGGACUUCAACGAGAUUCUUUACUCGGAUGAAAAAGAGGGUGGGGCUCCUAGAAGCCAGACUUGCCUCCAGGCCUUCUAGGAUGCCCUAACAGAUUGUUCACUUGAGGACCUAGGCUUCAACAGAGACAAGUUUACAUGGUUCCUUGGAGGGCUGCAAGAGAGACUGGACAGAGCUGUCUCUAAUGAGACAUGGCUGUUAAUGCACCCGUUAGUUGGACUCAGUAAUUUGGAGAUGGGUAAGUCAGACCAUAGGCCGAUUUGCCUUGAUACAAAUUAUCUAGAAGGGGUGGCAGAACCUACUGUGAAUGCCCCACGUAAGUUUGAGGCGAGGUGGCUCGCGGAGGAAACUGUGGAAGAAAUAGUUAAAACUGCCUGGCUGAAGGCAGUGAACCAAGGGCUCUGUCCUACGGCUGCAGAGAAGUUGGCUUCUGUCCAUAACAAUCUACAUGAUUGGGACAGGAAGAUUCUCAAGGCGCCUCGUGCCAGACUAAAAAAGGCCCAAAUAGAGUUGGAACGAUUGAUGAAUAUUCCCUUUACCCCGGAUGUGGGUGCUAAGCAGAAAGAAAUGUCGGUGUUGAUUAAAAAUCUGCUUGAGCAAGAUGAAAUCUAUUGGUCACAACGUGGAAGAGUUAACUGGCUUCGCCAUGGUGAUCGAAACACCAAAUACUUCAGUCUUUUUGCCUCUGCUAGAAGAAGGAGAAAUCUAAUCAAAAAACUGCGUGUGAAUGAGAAUGGAUGGGUUGAGGGGAAUGAUAAUCUCAGGCCUCUUAUCUCGGAUUACUUCAAAAAUCUUUUCUAG
This 804-nucleotide ribosomal RNA is filed under the name Triticum aestivum (bread wheat). Its description in RNAcentral is "partial small subunit ribosomal RNA". Lineage: Eukaryota; Viridiplantae; Streptophyta; Magnoliopsida; Poales; Poaceae. The record is from RNAcentral.